CUUAAUUAAGGCUGGAAGGAAGAAUGCUGCCAGACAGGAGAAAUGGUGAAAAAUAUUCAGCGUGAUGGAGGCGGGAGAGUGUGAAAGUGAGGUGAGAGUUGUGAGAGAGACGGAGAGAAGGUGAGAGGAAGAGAGAAAGAAACAGAAGCAAGUGCUGAAGAAGAAGAAGAAGAAGAAGAAGAAGAAGAAGAAUUUUCAAGACAAAUGUGUUUACACCAACUACUCAUUCGACUUUGUUGAUUGUGUUUUUACUAUUCACUGCUCUUUAGAAUUGCAUUUAUUUGACUAUGAUAUUUGCAUAUGCCUUUUGCACAGUACUGUAGGUCAUACAGAUCCUGUCAAACAUGCUGUUUCUUUUUAUCCCGAAGUGGCCUUGAUGGUAGAAGUAAAGUAGCUAAGUAGUUUAGCUUUGUGGUAUCAUUGUGUGUUCCACAGUUGCCUUAAAGUCAUCGCAUUUGGUGAAUAUAUUGGACUAAUUGCAAUAUUGGUAGCUCCAAUCGUUUGAGUGUUUCUUAGAACACAGGUAAUUGCUUAAACUAGGAGAAUGAACUAAUUAUCUGCUCACUGUUUUCCCAGCAACAGUGAGUAAUUUGGAAGCAAUUGACCUCCUGCAGUUCAGUGACAAAUGAAAAUAUGUAGGCCAGUUCACUAAUGACCCAGACUAACAACCUGGCUAAAGCCUUUACUUCUUCUACACUGACUCUUCCUUUAUGUCUAAUUUGCCACUUAUACAAUUCAGUAUGAAGUGUUACUUAGGCCUAUUUCUAUUUGUGGUAUAGAUGGGGUUUAAGAAAAAUGAUAAAAGUGAUGAUAAUCAAAUGUCAUUAUAAUCUUUAUACUGGUUUAGAAGAGUAAAUGUGAGUAUGUUGAAAGGAUGUUCAAUGUGAACAAUGUCCUGGUAUUUACUCAAACAACCCUUUAAGGUUACAGCAACAGUAUUCGGGCACAAGUCUGCCAUAUCCAUGUGAAAUUUACAUUUACGCCAUUUGGCAGACACCCUUAUACAGAGUGACAUACAUUGCAGUGCUCGAAUACAGUGCUUCAAAUUCUCUAUCUGUAAUAUAUAGUCCACUAUAGCCAUGGUCAUAAACUUAUUUAUUAUUGGAAAGUGCAAGACUUGUAAUGUGUCCGUGCUAAUAUUUAAAUGUGUAUAAUAUUCAGGUGAUAUUACAGGAAGAUGCCGUAACUGCUCUGUUAAUUUCACAUUCUUAUGUUAACUGUAGUGUUAUUG
Long non-coding RNA from Tachysurus fulvidraco (yellow catfish), 1231 nucleotides. RefSeq lists it as uncharacterized. The record is from RefSeq and is a predicted model, not a curated record. Lineage: Eukaryota; Metazoa; Chordata; Actinopteri; Siluriformes; Bagridae. The transcript has 2 exons.